ACAUGUGGUUUAAUUCGAUGAUACGCGAGGAACCUUACCCGGGCUUAAAUUGCAGUGGAAUGAUGUGGAAACAUGUCAGUGAGCAAUCACCGCUGUGAAGGUGCUGCAUGGUUGUCGUCAGCUCGUGCCGUGAGGUGUCGGCUUAAGUGCCAUAACGAGCGCAACCCUUAUCUUCAGUUACUAACAGGUCAUGCUGAGGACUCUGGAGAGACUGCCGUCGUAAGAUGUGAGGAAGGUGGGGAUGACGUCAAAUCAGCACGGCCCUUACGUCCGGGGCUACACACGUGUUACAAUGGGGGGUACAGAAGGCAGCUAGCGGGUGACCGUAUGCUAAUCCCAAAAUCCUCUCUCAGUUCGGAUCGAAGUCUGCAACCCGACUUCGUGAAGCUGGAUUCGCUAGUAAUCGCGCAUCAGCCACGGCGCGGUGAAUACGUUCCCGGGCCUUGUACACACCGCCCGUCAAGCCAUGGGAGCCGGGGGUACCUGAAGUACGUAACCGCAAGGAUCGUCCUAGGGUAAAACUGGUGACUGGGGCUAAGUCGUAACAAGGUAGCCGUACCGGAAGGUGCGGCUGGAACACCUCCUUU
RNAcentral lists this ribosomal RNA (587 nucleotides) under Bacteroides fragilis. RNAcentral's name for it is "bacterial SSU rRNA". It matches the Rfam family "Bacterial small subunit ribosomal RNA", at positions 937 to 1533 of the family's 1533-position model. Lineage: Bacteria; Pseudomonadati; Bacteroidota; Bacteroidia; Bacteroidales; Bacteroidaceae. The record is from RNAcentral.